CCUAAAUCCGGUCCAGACGGUCUCCUCUCUUCAAAGGGAGGAGCUAAGAGGGAAUGCGGUGCGGGACGAAAUCCCAAAUCCGCGGCUGUCCCCGCAACUGUAAGCGAAGAGCCAAGGCCGAAAGCCACUGGGGUGAUCCCGGGAAGGCGGCUACCCAAGGCGAUGACCCGCGAGCCAGGAGACCUGCCGUCUGCGACUAUAGAAU
Molecule: non-coding RNA, 205 nt
Filed under: Mesorhizobium sp.
Lineage: Bacteria; Pseudomonadati; Pseudomonadota; Alphaproteobacteria; Hyphomicrobiales; Phyllobacteriaceae
Source: RNAcentral